UACGUAGGGUGCAAGCGUUGCUCGGAAUCACUGGGCGUAAAGGGUGCGUAGGCGGGGCUUUAAGUCAGGGGGGAAAUCCUGGAGCUCAACUCCAGAACUGCCUUUGAUACUGAAGAUCUUGAGUUCGGGAGAGGUGAGUGGAACUGCGAGUGUAGAGGUGAAAUUCGUAGAUAUUCGCAAGAACACCAGUGGCGAAGGCGGCUCACUGGCCCGAUACUGACGCUGAGGCACGAAAGCGUGGGGAGCAAACAGG
Molecule: ribosomal RNA, 253 nt
Filed under: uncultured bacterium
Lineage: Bacteria
Description: partial 16S ribosomal RNA
Rfam family: Bacterial small subunit ribosomal RNA
Source: RNAcentral